Long non-coding RNA from Lycium barbarum (goji berry), 1213 nucleotides. RefSeq lists it as uncharacterized. The record is from RefSeq and is a predicted model, not a curated record. NCBI's taxonomy places the organism in Eukaryota, Viridiplantae, Streptophyta, Magnoliopsida, Solanales, Solanaceae. The transcript has 3 exons.
AAGAGCAAAGGAGACAUGGCAUAAGGCCAUGCUCUCCAAUUUUUGUCCCUUUGAAAUCUUCUCCCAAAAAUUAUUUUCUUGUGGUAUUCCUACUAAUUCAAGGGUCCUUUACAACUUGGUGUAAUUAUUUUGGAAGAAAGAGCACUUGUUUCUUCAAGUUGACAACUUGGUCAAGUGAAGAAGAUUGUAGAAAAAGAUUUGGCGAACUUGAAACUUGAUUUUGGAGACGUGUAUGAAGCGGAAAAGGUACACCCAAAGGAUGCGAAGUUAGCAUAGAAGAUGUUCCAGCGGAGUUGGUAGGCUCCAUUUGUCCUGGAGUGCUGCCAAGUCAGAGUAUAUGUACUAUGACGCUAUGUUCGAGGUUAGAGACUUUGCAGACAGAGUCGUGGGUAUAGAGUGUCAGCUUUGUAGACUUCUUCGCCAGUCGAUAUGUUAUUAUGUUUCAUGUCACGGGUCCCACAUGAUGAUAGAUUUUACUUAUAAAAAAAAAUGGAGAGUUUGCUGUGUAUUUGUUUCUUAAUUGAUUCACAAGUUUAUAUGUGUAAUAAGAGUCAGCGGGUUCGCUCGGCUCCGAAUAUGGGGUCGGGUGCCCAUCACACUCUAGUAGGAUCGGGGUGUGACAUAUGCUAAGGUUUGAGGGAAAGAAAUUGGAGGAAAGGUGCAAACAUGAACUUGAGGAUAUUUUGAGUUGUAAUUUAACUUGGCUAUGAUUGUUAGUGUGUUUUAAGAAAAAUCUUGUUACGAGGGAUAAUAGUUAAUGUCGAGGAAGUGCUGUGUACAAGUGUAUAUGGGGUGCUCAAUGGUAUAUCUUUACAUGUUGUGAAUAUGAGGUCAAGGAGAUCAUAUGAGGUUGUUAUGUUAAUUGUUGGUUGUGGAUUUUGUGGUGAUGAUUAAGAAAUAGGGGAAAGACUUUCCAUUUCACUUUAGAAUCAAGUUAUCAUUGAUAUAAGUGAUAUACAAGCGCCAUCUAAGUCAUAUAUGUAUUCCUUUGUUAUAGGAGUGGUGCUCUAGUGGUGAUAAGCUUGUUGUUGGAUUAUUUGGACGACUUGAGGGAUGUUAAGGCUAACUCUUCUUUCAUUUUGACAUGAUCUAUAACGAAACAAAGCGUAAACGAAAGUCAUUCCAUAACGACUCUACUCAUAGAUAUGUUAGAAGCUUUUGUUCGUCAAAGAAAGUUUUGUUGAUGAUGGCGGUUCCAUAAUGAUAAUCGGAG